AACAGGGUUGAAAUCCAACCUACUCCGAGUGUCAGCCUUCUGUCUUCCUCCUCAGCCCACCCCCUAGGGCCAUCUCCCACUAGGAGACUGAGGGAGAGGAGUCCUUACCCCACACCCCUCCUGAGUUGCUCUCUUCCCACUGUUCCUCACACUUCACAGCUGGUAAUCACUUGAAGCAUUGAUUGGGUUCGCAAGAAGCAAGAGUGGGUGACUGUGGGCUGGCCACAUGCCCCUUCACUGCCUGUCCCCUCCUCCACUCAACACCACACAAGAUUGUAGGAGGGAUCAACCUCAGCUCAAGAGUCAAAGAGAUGAGAAGCAUCAGAGCAGCAGCGUAGCUUGGAGACCAUACACCAGGUUCCUGACACCAGUCCCCGGGGCAGGACAGCUGAGUCUCCAUGAUGCUCAGAGAAGGGAUAAAAUGGAAACAGAUGCAAAAUUUCACGGAAAAGGCACUUUUGCUUUCAAACAUUUAUAAGCAUAACCAGUCAUUACAGAUAAGGAAAAAGAACAUAGUAGGUUGCUAUGGUCUGAAUGUGUCUCACAAAAUUUAUAUAUUGAAACAUAAUCCCCAUGAGAUAGUUUUAAGAGGCAGGGCCUUUAGGAGGUGAUUAAGUCAUCAGGUAGAGCCCUUCCAGAUGGGGUUAGGGCCCUUAUCAAAGGGCUCGAGGGAGGAGGUUCAUUCUCUUCUGCUGUGAGGACACAGUGUUUGUCCUCUUUCUGCCCGUCUGCCUUCCACCAUGUGAUGCAGUGGUCAAGGCCUCAGCAGACAUCAAACCUGCCUGUGCCUUGGUCUUGGACUUCCAGCCUCCAUAACUCUCUGUGGUUUAUAAAUUACCCAGCCUCAGAUAUUUUGUUACAGCAGCCCAGACAGAACAAGACACAGGUGUAAGUGAAGCCACUUGCAGAAGGGUUCCCAUGCGAAGUGAGGUGGGAGGAGACCCACACUAAGGAGCUACAACAUGGUGGGGGAAAGAGCAACAGGCGGGGAGUCCACGCUCCUGCUAAAUCUGGCCUUCUCCCUUCACAGGUGGCCUCCUGUGGUCACGCCUGUCCCUGCUGCUGCUUGCCGUCCUUGGGUUCACCCCCUCUGUCCACAGGCCCUCCCUUCUGCACCCCUCACUGCGUGGCCCUCUACCUACCUUUGCAGGCCUCCCAAUCCCCCCAGUGGGAUAUUCCCAAGCCUCAGGUUCACCCAACCCUACCCCUGAGCAGGCCUGGGUGUGGAGGCCAGGAGAACACGCCCUGCAGCCCAACGAAACGCAGGGAGAGGAAGUGUCCAAGGCCAAAGGGGCUGCACUCUGAAGGGACUGAGCACAGGAGGACAUGAAGGGAGGCAGUCCCCGGGAGAGGUGGGCUCCUCCAAGGGUGCCUUUGGCUGGAGCACUCUUGCACGGCCGUGGAAUCUUCCUUAGACUCCAUGGCAGUCUAGGAUGCAUCCUCCCAACCUGCUCUCCCUCCUCCCCUCAGGGUCUGCCCUGAGUCCUGGUCUGAAAACUCCUCAGACAGCCUCCCUCUGACUUUCCUCACCUGGGCAUCUCCUCCAACAAAAUCUUGGCAUUUUUAAUCCCCUCUUGGCAUCUGCUUCUCAGAGGCCCUGGACUGGUGCAUGAGGCUCUUCAGAUGGGAUGUGAACUGUCAGAGAGCUUGGCAGGAGGCCCUUUGGAGUCCCACAGAACAACUCAGGAAAGGGGGCUUCCCUGACCCAAUGUCCAGCGUGGAGGCCCUAGGGGGCAGGCAUUCUGAGCCUCCCCACCUGUGUGGGCUGAAGGCGUGUCUUUGACUCUUGUGAUCCAGCAGACAGCUGUGGAAAUACAAACACAUACAGAGAAACAUGUGUCUCCCCCAGUACCCCAGCGGGAUGCACUCUCAGUCCUUCCGCCUUACCACUGUCUUCACGGAGAAAUUCCGUUCCUGCUGUGGCGCCUGGCAACUGCUUCACUACCUCUGUAGCCAUGAGACAGCCUGAGUCCUCCAUGGUGGGAUUGUGUGUGACAAUGAGAAGACAGCCCAACUCCUCUUUCCCUGAUGCAGUCCGGCCCCUCUGUGCUGUGUAGCCUCACCAGGUUCCCAACACUGAUGAGGUUACACGCCCAGCAUUUACUCCUCAGACUGGACCUGGAGCAUCCCGCCGCUGGACCUGAGUGAAGACCAGAGUCAACAGACGGUUUUCUCUUUCUCUUAAAGAAGUUUGGAACAUUUGAAACAUAUUAUCCUAUUCAUGACUAAUAUUCCAACAGGAGUCAUUCAGAUAAACAAAAAGCCUUUCCAGGUGCUUGUCUGAUUUAGAGGAAGGCAGCACAUUCCCAUUCACACAACAGAGGGGCCAGGUGCCUCUGAAAGAAGAGCUGAUGUGUGGGGCUGAAAACAGGAUCACUGGUUGAAAGUGCCUAUAGGAAACAGACUCCCCAGCCUAGGGUUUGAGGUUGACUCUGGAGAAACCCAGGAAGGGUGUGGAUUUGGGUUCUGCAUUACUUAGGGUGGGGGGCGAGGCGUGUCCUGGAGAGAGGGGGUUGUGUGAAAAUCUGCAUACAGGGUGACUGACCCAUGACUCCCUUCCUCUACUCAGCACCCAGGUGCCUCAUCCCAGCCGUGUAGGACUCUAGGGAAAUCCAAUGGGCUGAGAGGAAAGACCUCCUAGUACUGAUGCCUGAGUGUUCCUCCACCUGGCAGGACCAAAUGCAGCCCUCUCCCUCACAGCUUCCGAUGAGCUGACUAGUGGCGCUUUCUUAAAUGACGGGCAGCCAAGGGUAAUCAGACAUUUGAGGAAAGGCUUUAACAUGAAAAAGAAAGGUCAAGGCAAACAGAGAAAGGAAACCUGGAGUAAGUAGAGGCCUAGCAGGGGGCAAAAUAAAUGUCUAAAACCCUUACCUACCUUCAGAGAGAAAAGACGAUAUUAUAGAUGUCAAACAAGACGCUAGAAAAAAAGACUCCAAGAACAAGAAAGAGCACUUGGAAAUUUAAAUAUUAGAGCAGAUAAAAUGAUCUGAAAACAAAGCUAAGAAAAUCUCCCAAUAGUUUUUGUUAAGGAACAAUAAUAGGAGAGAAAAGAUAAGGAAAGGAUAGAAUCCAUGCAGGAGAGUCAGCAAUCACAGGAUGAUAGGAGGUGGCAGCCAUGAGAAUGUACCUGGCCAACUUGCAGCUGCAGCUGCUGAGGCCCUCCACAGCCUCUGCUCCAAGCACACAGUCUGUGGGCUGCUCCUAGUCACUGAGUGAGGCAGAGCACCAAGGCAGGCCAGUUCUUGGAAGAGGUAGGCUCUCUGAUGGGGCUUCAGCUCCGUGACAGCUGUCCCCUACGAGGUGCACCCUCCAACCCUC
This 3318-nucleotide long non-coding RNA is filed under the name Homo sapiens (human). RNAcentral describes it as "HSALNT0183264". Lineage: Eukaryota; Metazoa; Chordata; Mammalia; Primates; Hominidae. The record is from RNAcentral.